GCCCCUAUAGUUUAAAAUAAAAUUCUAUCUUUGUAAGUUAGAGAUGAAAACUCUAUAGGCA
RNAcentral lists this transfer RNA (61 nucleotides) under Bragasellus molinai. Its description in RNAcentral is "transfert RNA-T(ACA)". Lineage: Eukaryota; Metazoa; Arthropoda; Malacostraca; Isopoda; Asellidae. The record is from RNAcentral.